UCAAGUUGGCUAAUAUACAGUGUAUGCAGCGUGCUCUUGGUUUUGCGGGUAGAUUCCGGUGACAACCCCUGGAUCUUGACCUUAAAACUAGAUCAUGGUGUGUCUUACUUUUAUAAUCUGGGCUCGAUAACUAUUUCUUGAAAACUAGGUGAUCAUUAACUCAUAGCAACAAUAUUUUUCUUGUUGCUAAAAAGACGUGAAACUAUCUGUUGUUUGAGAAGUAUCAUGGUGGUACCUAAGGCAUAAAACACCUUCUCUUCUAGACAGCAAAAGAUGCUGACCUUUUGUUUUAUGGCGAGAGCACAUAAGGAAGGCUAAAUCUGCAUCAGACAUUUGAAUAGAUGCUUCAGAGGAGUAUGGAGGGUGAGGAAUGUUUUUAAUGACAUCCAAGAUUAGAAUUUGCUCGGAGAAAGUCCCAGUAUUGUGACUAUUUUGCUUACCAGUCUAUCCACAGCACUUGACCCUGUGUUUGGUAAAUUGUGGCAUCGAUACAUAUUUGAGGAAUAAAUGAACCCUGAUUGAGAUGCUGCCUGAUGCGGAAGCUCCGAGGGAAGAUAAAAAAAAAACUUGAAUCAGUAUCAAAAUCAUAUGGCUUGGCUAAGUGGUACCUGCCUAUGGAAUCAAAGAUGGAUGAGCGAUCAAUAAAUAUUGCAGUAGUCUUCAGUUCUUUUUAACUAUAUCCACCAUAGAUUAAAAAGUAUCAAAAGGGUCAGCAGCAGGGGGGCCUGCGUGGCUUAGUCAGUUGAGCAUCUGACUCUUGAUACUGGUUCAUGUAAUCUCCCAGUGGUGAGAUAGAGCCCCGAGUCAGGCUCCACGAUGACAACGUGGAGCCUAAUUGGGAUUCUCUCUCUCCCUCUCUCUCUGCCCCACCUUCUCUCUCUCUCUCUCUCAGUAACUAAAUACACAUUUUUUUUUUUUAAACAGGGUCAGCAGGAGAAUAAUGGUACUUUCCCUGCUCCUUUUCCAUGUAGAAUAUUAAAUAGAGAAGCCAGACCCACAAUGCAUUAGGAAGAAAGCUAGCUCAGAAUGUGGAGCAUCUGUGGAGCAGACUGACUGAAGGUGGCACAGGAGAAAGUUACCCUUUUUGAAGACGGAGGUGGAUACUGUGACUCUGUCCUUGAAGAAUCGGGAGGGCAGUCAGUCACAGAGCUUUGUGGAGGUUUGACUAUUCAGAGCAGGACUUGGAGAGGUAGGGCAGCUGAAGAUUUUACCCUGGGGACUUCAGCUGGGAGCAGUUAAUUAGUUGGCUAUGCCUUAAUGCAUCCGGUUGGUCAAUUCUUAAGAUAGCAUGCUAUUGUGUCUUCUGAAAGAAUGAGCUAGAGCCACAGACCACUGGUUUGGAGUUCCUUCCCAGAAUUUUAAGCAAAGAAAGCAAACUGAAGGAGAAUAAGAAAGGAGAAAGGAUUCAACCAACAAGUUAAUCAGAAGAGAUCCGACUCGAAAGAAGAAAAUCAGACAGCAGCCAUUGAAGGGCAGGGCUCCUAGAACCUUCUCAGCGGGCAUGCGGGCCUUAAGAGAGAGAGACAGAGCAUGAACAGGGGAGGAGCAGAGAGAGAGGGAGACACAGAAUCCGAAGCAGGCUCCAGGCUCCGAGCUGUGAGCACAGAGCCCGACGCGGGGCUCCAACUCACAGACCCCGAGAUCAUGACCUGAGCCGAAGUCGGACGCUCAACUGACUGAGCCACCC
Molecule: long non-coding RNA, 1687 nt
Organism: Neofelis nebulosa (Clouded leopard)
Lineage: Eukaryota; Metazoa; Chordata; Mammalia; Carnivora; Felidae
Exons: 3
Source: RefSeq, a predicted model, not a curated record